GUUUGACAAUUCAAGGAUGGUUGGCUCACUCCUACAGAAAGGGGUGAUGCCUGUGACAGUAUUUGAAACACUAAUGUUUGCCGUAACAUUCGCAGCAUUAAUCAUAACAAUACUCUCAUUCAGUCAUAAAAAAUAACCCAUCAUUGAGUUAGCCGCUCAGAUGGGUUACUUCUACCACUGUAGCCAGCCCCUUGAAGAGACCGACU
This 206-nucleotide small RNA is filed under the name Robertmurraya massiliosenegalensis. RNAcentral describes it as "BsrG". The stretch from base 9 to 189 matches the Rfam family "BsrG", at positions 18 to 199 of the family's 259-position model. Rfam says of the family: bsrE, bsrG and bsrH pair through intermolecular interactions with antisense sRNAs. SR4 interaction with the 3'UTR of bsrG RNA promotes bsrG degradation and inhibits its translation. SR5 also overlaps bsrG from nucleotide 163 to 52 (Rfam overlap check). The record is from RNAcentral. Lineage: Bacteria; Bacillati; Bacillota; Bacilli; Caryophanales; Bacillaceae.